GACGAACCGUGCGAACGUUAUUCGGAAUCACUGGGCUUAAAGCGCGUGUAGGCGGGUGGGAACGUCGGCCACUGAAAGCCCCCGGCUCAACCGGGGAAGGGGUGCCGAAACGGCCCGCCUGGAGGGGCGUAGGGGGACCUGGAACUUCCGGUGGAGCGGUGAAAUGCGUUGAGAUCGGAAGGAACGCCCGUGGCGAAAGCGAGGUCCUGGACGCCUACUGACGCUGAGACGCGAAAGCCAGGGGAGCGAACGGG
Molecule: ribosomal RNA, 254 nt
Filed under: uncultured bacterium
Lineage: Bacteria
Description: partial 16S ribosomal RNA
Rfam family: Bacterial small subunit ribosomal RNA
Source: RNAcentral